CGUGCUUUAUACAUGCAAGUCUAACUGGAAGCUUACUUCGGUAAGUGGAAAGUGGCGAACGGGUGAGUAACGCGUAGAUAAUCAACCUUUUAGUCUGGGAUAAUAUUUGGAAACGAAUACUAAUACUGGAUAAGCUCACGAUGACUCAAGUCAAUGUGAGAAAAGAAAGCCUCUUCAUGAAAGCUUUGCUAGAAGACGAGUCUGCGUAUCAUUAGCUAGUUGGUGGGGUAAGAGCUUACCAAGGCGACGAUGAUUAGCUGGUCUGAGAGGAUGAUCAGCCACACUGGGACUGAGACACGGCCCAGACUCCUACGGGAGGCUGCAGUAGGGAAUAUUCCGCAAUGGGCGCAAGCCUGACGGAGCGACGCCACGUGACCGAAGAAGUUCGAAAGGAUGUAAAGGUCUGUCAGUGGGAAAGAAGGUUAUUGAGAAUAAUAAGUUCGAUAAUUUGACGGUACCCACAAAGGAAGCAUCGGCUAAUUACGUGCCAGCAGCCGCGGUAAUACGUAAGAUGCGAGCGUUAUCCGGAAUCACUGGGUAUAAAGCGUAUGUAGGUGGUUAAACAAGUUAGAUGUGAAAAUUCUACGGCUCAACCGAGAACGUGCAUUUAAAACUGUUUAACUAGAGAUAGAGAGAGGGCAACAGAAUUCCAGGUGUAGUGGUGAAAUGCGUAGAGAUCUGGAAGAAUACCAAUGGAGAAGUCAGUUGCCUGGUUCUAAACUGACACUGAGAUACGAAAGCUAGGGGAGCGAACGGGAUUAGAGACCCCGGUAGUCCUAGCCGUAAACGAUGAACACUAGAUAUUGGGAAAACUCGGUAUCGCAGCAAAUGCAUUAAGUGUUCCGCCUGGGGAGUACGGUCGCAAGAUUAAAACUCAAAGGAAUUGACGGGGACCCGCACAAGCGGUGGAUCAUGUGGUUUAAUUCGAUGCAACGCGAAAAACCUUACCAGCACUUGACAUUUAUUUGAAUACUUGAGAGAUUAAGUAGCUUUUAGUUUACUAAAACAGAUAAACAGGUGGUGCAUGGCUGUCGUCAGCUCGCGUCGUGAGAUGUUGGGUUAAGUCCCGCAACGAGCGCAACCCUUACUGUUAGUUGCCAGCGAGUAAUGUCGGGAACUUUAACGGGACUGCCGGUGACAAACCGGAGGAAGGUGGGGAUGACGUCAAGUCCUCAUGCCCUUUAUGUGCUGGGCUACACACGUGAUACAAUGGCAGGAACAGAGAGAGGCGAAGGGGUGACCUGGAGCGGAACUCAAAAAUCUUGUCCAAGUUCGGAUUGGAGGCUGCAACUCGCCUCCAUGAAGUCGGAAUCGCUAGUAAUCGCGAAUCAGCAUGUCGCGGUGAAUACGUUCUCGGGUCUUGUACACACCGCCCGUCACACCACGAGAGUCGGGUGCACCUGAAACGGCUGAGCUAACUACGAGAGGCAGGUCACUAGGGUGUGUUUGAUGAUUGAGGUGAAGUCGUAACAAGGUA
Molecule: ribosomal RNA, 1477 nt
Filed under: metagenome
Description: bacterial SSU rRNA
Rfam family: Bacterial small subunit ribosomal RNA
Source: RNAcentral